UUGGAGGGCAAGUCUGGUGCCAGCAGCCGCGGUAAUUCCAGCUCCAAUAGCGUAUAUUAAAGUUGUUGCAGUUAAAAAGCUCGUAGUUGAAUUUCGGGAUUGACACAUCGGUCGUGCCUUAAGGGGUAUGAACUGGUGUAGUCAGUUUCUCACCUUCUGGAGAACCGCGAUGUCCUUAAUUGGGUGCCGCGAGGAACCAGGACCUUUACUUUGAAAAAAUUAGAGUGUUUAAAGCAGGCAUUUUGCUUGAAUACAUUAGCAUGGAAUAAUAAAAUAGGACGGAUGGUUCUAUUUUGUUGGUUUCUAGGAUCACCGUAAUGAUUAAUAGGGAUAGUUGGG
RNAcentral lists this small RNA (339 nucleotides) under uncultured Entrophospora. RNAcentral describes it as "SSU rRNA". It matches the Rfam family "Eukaryotic small subunit ribosomal RNA", at positions 548 to 886 of the family's 1831-position model. Lineage: Eukaryota; Fungi; Glomeromycota; Glomeromycetes; Entrophosporales; Entrophosporaceae. The record is from RNAcentral. RNAcentral also lists the same sequence under 1 other name.